RNA transcript from Octodon degus (degu), 998 nucleotides. It is a transcript of the gene named glyceraldehyde-3-phosphate dehydrogenase-like, with no coding region annotated. The record is from RefSeq and is a predicted model, not a curated record. The transcript has a single exon. Lineage: Eukaryota; Metazoa; Chordata; Mammalia; Rodentia; Octodontidae.
AUGGUGAAGGUUGGAGUGAACGGAGUUGGCCGUAUUGUAUGCCUCGUCACCAGGGCUGCUUUUUCCUCUGGCAAGGUGGAUAUUGUGGCCAUCAGUGACCCUUUUAUUGACCUCAAUUACAUGGUCUACAUGUUCCAGUAGGACUGUACCCACGGCGAGUUCCAUGGCACUGUCAAGGCUGAGAACAGGAAGCUCAUCAUCAAUGGAAAGGUCAUCACCCUCUUCCAAGAGUGAGAUCCUGCCAACAUCAAGUGGGGUGAUGCUGGCACUGAGCACGUGGUGGAGUCCACUGGUGUCUUCACCACCAUGGAGAAGGCCAGGGCACACCUGAAGGGUGGUGCCAAAAGGGUCAUCAUCUCUGCCCCUUCCGCCAAUGUCCCCAUGUUUGUGAUGGGUGUGAAUCGCGAGAAAUAUGACAACUCCCUCAAGAUUGUCAGCAACGCUUCCUUACCAACUGCUUAGCCACACUGGCCAAGGUCAUCUAUGACAACUUCGGCAUUGUGGAGGGACUCAUGACCAUGGUGCAUGCCAUCACUGCCACCCAGAAGACUGUGGACGGCCCCUUUGAGAAACUGUGGCGUGAUGGCCGUGGGGCUGUCCAGAACAUCAUCCCUGCAUCCACUGGCACUGCCAAGGCUGUGGGCAAGGUCAUCCCAGAGCUGAACAGGAAGCCCACAGGCAUGGCCUUCCAUGUGCCCACUCCCAACAUGUCAGUGGUGGAUCUGACCUGCUGCCUAGAGAAAGCAGCUAAAUACAAUGAAACUAAGAAGGUAGUGAAGCAGGCAUCAGAUGGUCCCCUCAAAGGCAUCCUGGGCUACACCAAGGACCAGGUUGUGUCUUGCACCUUCAACAGUGACACCCACUCUUCCACCUUUGAUGCUGGGGCUGGAAUUGCCCUGAUUGACCACUUUGUAAAGCUCAUUUCCUGGUAUGACAAUGAGUUUGUCUACAGCAACAGGGUGGUAGACCUCAUGAUCCACAUGGCCUCCAAGGAGUAA